GCAGAGGUCACCAUGCUUGUCUUAUGUGACUGCUCUCUGCAGAAGUACAGUGAAGUGCACCUGACACGUGGUGAUUUUUGUCAGUGUGACGUCUGCUGAGAUGAGGCCGUGCACCCCCUGCAGCAGCACUGCCUCACAGACCGAGGGUGGUGUCAGCAUCGUCAGGGCCUGGUGCUGAUUCUGAGGACACCACCUCAUUAAAGCGGCUUGUUGGAGGAGCUGUUGGCUGAGACCAGCCCCUUGUCGUGGGAAGCGAGAGUGGAAGAAGUGCAAGCUUGGCUCUCCUUGCCACAGCUCCUGCCCACCAGAGCCUGAGCAGGGGCAGACUCCCAGGCCCCGGGUAGCCCAGCCUUGGUGCUGUCUCCGGCAGCUGCUACUGCAGAACACACCUGGCAAUGGGAGACCCUGGACUAGGGCAGAAGCACCUAAGAUUGGAAUGGUGGAGGGCUGCCUCCCUCCCUGGAAUUACUGAGAGAAGGCUGAGGUAGGAGAAUGGCGUGAACCUGGGAGGUGGAGCUUGCAGUGAGCCGAGAUCGCGCCACUGCACUCCAGGCUGGGCGACAGAGUGAGACUCCGUCUCAAAAAAAAAAAAAAAAAAGAAAAAGAAAUAGACUUUCCAGCGAAGCACAAAACACAAAAAUUAGCCAGGCUGGUGGCAGGCACCUGUAAACCCAGCUACUUGGGAGGAUGAGGCAUGAGAAUCGCUUGAAGCCAGGAGGUGGAGGUUGCAGCGAGCCAAGAUUAUACCACCACACUCCAGCCUGGGCAACAGAGCAAGAAUCUGUCGC
This 788-nucleotide long non-coding RNA is filed under the name Homo sapiens (human). RNAcentral describes it as "HSALNT0001086". The record is from RNAcentral. Lineage: Eukaryota; Metazoa; Chordata; Mammalia; Primates; Hominidae.